GGCCUGAUGGUCUAGUGGUAUGAUUCCUCGUUUGGGCGGCUUGAGCCAAUGCAUACGAGGAGGCCCCGGGUUCAAACCCCGGUCAGGCCC
Mycena floridula is the source of this 90-nucleotide non-coding RNA. The record is from the annotation of a GenBank genome assembly. NCBI's taxonomy places the organism in Eukaryota, Fungi, Basidiomycota, Agaricomycetes, Agaricales, Mycenaceae.